Paramormyrops kingsleyae is the source of this 1385-nucleotide RNA transcript. It is a transcript of the gene named radial spoke head component 1, with no coding region annotated. NCBI's taxonomy places the organism in Eukaryota, Metazoa, Chordata, Actinopteri, Osteoglossiformes, Mormyridae. The record is from RefSeq and is a predicted model, not a curated record.
GGUUACUAUGGUAACAGACUGGCACAGAAAAAGACCCGCGACCACUUAAUGGUUUUCUUGUGAAACACAUCAGUCAUAGUUACUACGUAUUUACAAUGUCAGAUACGGGAUCAGAGAAUUUAGAAGAGCCGAUUUACCUUGGAGAGUAUCAUGGCGAUAGAAACGACGUUGGGGAGAGACACGGAGUCGGGAAGGCAGUGCUCCCCAACGGAGAUACCUAUCAUGGAGUAUAUGAAAACGGCAAAAGGAGCGGAACUGGAACUUACCUUUUUAAAAAUGGAGCUUGUUACAUUGGAGAAUAUCACAUGAACAAGAAACAUGGGCAGGGAAUUCUCUACUACCCCGAUGGAUCCAAAUAUGAAGGAGGAUGGGUGAAUGACCAACGGCAGGGUCACGGUGUCUACACAUAUAACAAUGGAGACACAUAUGAUGGAGAAUGGUUGCAAAAUCAGAGGUAUGGGCAUGGUGUUUACACCUAUCAUGAGACUGGCUCCAGGUAUGUGGGUACCUGGAUGUUUGGAAAGAUUGAAUCACCAGCAGGCGAGUUUGUCCAUCUCAACCACAAAUAUCAAGGAAACUUUAACAAUAAUAAUCCUUCUGGCCCAGGGAGGUAUGUGUUUGACAUUGCUUGUGAGCAGCAUGGAGAAUUCGGUCAAAUAGAUCAGUUUCUUUUCCUAGAUGUUGAAGUGGAACUUGGGCAGAGGGGGCCCUUGUCCAGCUUAGUGCCAGCUCCCAAUAUAUACCAACUUUCAGUUCUAUAUGUGUCUUAGUUAUUUUUAAACUUUAGUUAUCCUGCAUCUUAUGAAGUCCAUCCUUAACUGAUGCUGACAUUUGGUGACAGGAAAGGGUGCAUGAUGAAGAAGAAGACCCUGUUACUGCUGUACAUCUAAAGUGGCAUCCAGUUUCUAUCUCUGGUCUUAGACACUAGCGCACCAGCCUAGUUAAAAGAUCUCCUUCCCAGAUGGCAUGUGAGAGGCUGCAUUAAAUUGCUACUCCAGGGAUAAACACUGAUGAACUACCCAGAAGACUAAAGAGCAGAGGAAGAUUGACUUCAGAGCAGUCUUUGUCUGCAGUCUUUGUUUUUUGUAUGUGCCAUGUUUUGUUCUAAUAAUGAUUAUUAUGGCUGGAGAAAGUUCUUGAUUUCACUUCUGUUGAUUUUGUUAGCUGCUAUGUUAAAUUAAAUAAUUUAGAGUAGGGAUUUACAACAGCUUGAUGUCUGUGAACUGGUUUACAUCAUAGACUGGUAAAACAGCUAUGGGUGUGGGUAAGGGGUAUCAGUGGGUCAAUCAGAGAUUUUGUUUGUAAGUUUAAUUGUUUCCAUUUUUUCUAAUGCAAAUGGAAUGCGCAAAUGUGAUGGGUUGUAAAAAAUAAAAAAAUAUAUAGUU